UACGGAGGGUGCAAGCGUUAUCCGGAUUCACUGGGUUUAAAGGGUGCGUAGGUGGAUCGGUAAGUCCGUGGUGAAAUCCCCGAGCUUAGCUCGGGAACUGCCGUGGAUACUAUCGAUCUUGAAUACUGUGGAGGUAAGCGGAAUAUGUCAUGUAGCGGUGAAAUGCUUAGAUAUGACAUAGAACACCGAUAGCGAAGGCAGCUUGCUACACAGUUAUUGACACUGAGGCACGAAAGCGUGGGGAGCAGACAGG
Molecule: ribosomal RNA, 253 nt
Filed under: uncultured bacterium
Lineage: Bacteria
Description: partial 16S ribosomal RNA
Rfam family: Bacterial small subunit ribosomal RNA
Source: RNAcentral